Molecule: transfer RNA, 66 nt
Filed under: Bactrothrips quadrituberculatus
Lineage: Eukaryota; Metazoa; Arthropoda; Insecta; Thysanoptera; Phlaeothripidae
Description: tRNA-Tyr
Source: RNAcentral
AAUAAAGUGGCUGAAGACAAUAGGCAUUAAACUGUAAAUUUAAUUAUAAAUAAAAUUUCUUUAUUA